UAAAUACCGGCCAGAGACCGAUAGCGCACAAGUAGAGUGAUCGAAAGAUGAAAAGCACUUUGGAAAGAGAGUUAAAAAGUACGUGAAAUUGUUGAAAGGGAAGCGCUUGCAACCAGACUUGUCCGCAGUUGCUCAGCCGGUCUCCUGACCGGCGUACUCUUCUGCGGCCAGGCCAGCAUCAGUUCGGGCGGUCGGAUAAAGACCUCGGGAAUGUGGCUCCCUUCGGGGAGUGUUAUAGCCCGGGGUGGAAUGCGGCCAGCCUGGACUGAGGAACUCGCUUCGGCUAGGAUGCUGGCGUAAUGGUUGUAAGCGGCCCGUCUUGAAACACGGACCAAGGAGUCUAACAUCUAUGCGAGUGUUUGGGUGUCAAACCCAUACGCGAAAUGAAAGUGAACGGAGGUGGGAACCCUCACGGGUGCACCAUCGGCCGAUCCUGAUGUCUUCGGAUGGAUUUGAGCAAGAGCAUAGCUGUUGGGACCCGAAAGAUGGUGAACUAUACCUGAAUAGGGUGAAGCCAGAGGAAACUCUGGUGGAGGCUCGCAGCGGUUCUGACGUGCAAAUCGA
Molecule: ribosomal RNA, 564 nt
Rfam family: Eukaryotic large subunit ribosomal RNA